This 624-nucleotide ribosomal RNA is filed under the name uncultured bacterium. RNAcentral describes it as "bacterial SSU rRNA". It matches the Rfam family "Bacterial small subunit ribosomal RNA", at positions 127 to 749 of the family's 1533-position model. The record is from RNAcentral.
UGCCGUCUACUCUUGGACAGCCUUCUGAAAGGAAGAUUAAUACAAGAUGGCAUCAUGAGUUCACAUGUUCACAUGAUUAAAGGUAUUCCGGUAGACGAUGGGGAUGCGUUCCAUUAGAUAGUAGGCGGGGUAACGGCCCACCUAGUCUUCGAUGGAUAGGGGUUCUGAGAGGAAGGUCCCCCACAUUGGAACUGAGACACGGUCCAAACUCCUACGGGAGGCAGCAGUGAGGAAUAUUGGUCAAUGGGCGCAGGCCUGAACCAGCCAAGUAGCGUGAAGGAUGACCGCCCUAUGGGUUGUAAACUUCUUUUAUAAAGGAAUAAAGUCGGGUAUGUAUACCCGUUUGCAUGUACUUUAUGAAUAAGGAUCGGCUAACUCCGUGCCAGCAGCCGCGGUAAUACGGAGGAUCCGAGCGUUAUCCGGAUUUAUUGGGUUUAAAGGGAGCGUAGAUGGAUGUUUAAGUCAGUUGUGAAAGUUUGCGGCUCAACCGUAAAAUUGCAGUUGAUACUGGAUAUCUUGAGUGCAGUUGAGGCAGGCGGAAUUCGUGGUGUAGCGGUGAAAUGCCUAGAUAUCACGAAGAACUCCGAUUGCGAAGGCAGCCUGCUAAGCUGCAACUGACAUUGA